Molecule: ribosomal RNA, 253 nt
Filed under: uncultured bacterium
Lineage: Bacteria
Description: partial 16S ribosomal RNA
Rfam family: Bacterial small subunit ribosomal RNA
Source: RNAcentral
UACGUAGGGUGCAAGCGUUAAUCGGAAUUACUGGGCGUAAAGCGCACGUAGGCGGACUGCUAAGUCGGACGUGAAAUCCCUCAGCUUAACUGAGGAAGUGCAUUCGAAACUAGCAGUCUUGAGUACAGGAGAGGGUCGCGGAAUUCCCGGUGUAGAGGUGAAAUUCGUAGAUAUCUGGAGGAAUACCGGUGGCGAAGGCGGUAUCCUGGACCGGCAUUGACGCUGAGGAGCGAAAGCCAGGGGAGCAAACGGG